AAAUUAUCCUCAUAAGUUAGACGAAAAGAGGUACCAUUUAUAAAUUAAAUUCUUAAGACCUUCUAUCGAACUCAAUCUUUGUUUUUGAUGGAGCUCUAAAUUUAUAGAUAAAUGGUGGCACAGAAUCGGAGGCCCCGACUGUUUACUAAAAACACAACACAGUGCAAUCAUUAAUAUGAUAGUAUACUGUGUGAAAUUUGCCCAAUGCCAUUAAUAUAAAAGCGGUCAUGGGAAACUGUGACUAAUUGAAAAUCUGGUUAAUAGCGGUCUUAACCAUGAGGAUCCUAAGGUAGCAAAAUAAAUUGGCCAUUAAAUGUGGUCCGGUAUCAAUAAUGUAACGAUGGCCUCACUGUCUCUACAACUUGCUCAGUGAAAUUGAAUUACGCGUGCAGAUGCGCGUUACCUCCAGGGGGACGGGAAGACCCUAUGCAGCUUCU
Molecule: ribosomal RNA, 437 nt
Filed under: Amanita pruittii
Lineage: Eukaryota; Fungi; Basidiomycota; Agaricomycetes; Agaricales; Amanitaceae
Description: LSU rRNA
Rfam family: Bacterial large subunit ribosomal RNA
Source: RNAcentral